This 169-nucleotide non-coding RNA is filed under the name Bacteroides ilei. Lineage: Bacteria; Pseudomonadati; Bacteroidota; Bacteroidia; Bacteroidales; Bacteroidaceae. The record is from RNAcentral.
AGCUUUUUCGGCUUGAAGGAUGAAAAGGGAACUGAGUGAAAGUCUCAGACAGUCCCGCUGCUGUGAAUCUCCAUUAUACAACUUUCAGGAAAAGGCUCAUACCACUGGCAGACAGUUCUGCCGGGAAGGAUCCGGAAAGGGAGUAAGUCAGAAGACCUGCCAACACAUA